Molecule: ribosomal RNA, 253 nt
Filed under: uncultured bacterium
Lineage: Bacteria
Description: partial 16S ribosomal RNA
Rfam family: Bacterial small subunit ribosomal RNA
Source: RNAcentral
UACGUAGGUGGCAAGCGUUGUCCGGAUUUACUGGGCGUAAAGCGCGCGCAGGCGGGUUGGUCAGUCUGGGGUGAAAUCUCACGGCUCAACCGUGAGGGGUCCCUGGAUACUGCCAGCCUUGAGGGGCUCAGAGGAGAGUGGAAUUCCGGGUGGAGCGGUGAAAUGCGUAGAGAUCCGGAGGAACACCGACGGCGUAGGCAGCGCCCUGGACGACACCUGACGCUGAGGCACGAAAGCGUGGGUAGCAAACAGG